Molecule: long non-coding RNA, 250 nt
Filed under: Elaeis guineensis (African oil palm)
Lineage: Eukaryota; Viridiplantae; Streptophyta; Magnoliopsida; Arecales; Arecaceae
Description: long non-coding RNA (EGUI_LNC028737)
Source: RNAcentral
GCAUCUAUUUCAGAUCGAGCCACGUCACCACUAUCCGCGUGAACAGCUCUGACCCAAUAACAUUCGAAUACGUGGCAAGGAUCUACUUAUUAGAAUCAUAUCGUCUGGUGCCGAAUCAUCUUCUCGAAAUGACGUCUGACACUGACAUUUGAUAUCGAAUCGUCCUAUCAAUAUGACAGUCUAAUGAUGAUUCUGUACUCAUCGAAAUGACAAAACAGUCAAUGCUCAUAUCUCGAAAAAACUAGCAGCU